UACGGGGGGGGCAAGCGUUGUUCGGAAUUACUGGGCGUAAAGGGCUCGUAGGCGGCCAACUAAGUCGGAUGUGAAAUCCCCAAGCUUAACUUGGGAACUGCAUCCGAUACUGGAUGGCUUGAAUCCGGGAGAGGGAUGCAGAAUUCCAGGUGUAGCGGUGAAAUGCGUAGAUAUCAGGAGGAACACCGGUGGCGAAGGCGGGUCUCUGGGCAAUAACUGACGCUGAGGAGCGAAAGCGUGGGGAGCGAACAGG
This 253-nucleotide ribosomal RNA is filed under the name uncultured bacterium. RNAcentral describes it as "partial 16S ribosomal RNA". It matches the Rfam family "Bacterial small subunit ribosomal RNA", at positions 524 to 776 of the family's 1533-position model. The record is from RNAcentral.